AUGAUUGGUGGCUGUUGCUGGCUAGUGUUUCUAGUAUGUGCACGCCACACCUUCAAUCCCACUUACACCUGUGCACUUUUUGUAGUGGAUCUAUGUCGAUACAGAGAUGUGAAGGUUUACGCUCUCCUACUCUGUUGAAGCAAGUCUACUACGUCUUUUACACACACGCAAAUAGUCAUUGAAUGUAUUUUUAUCUUAUGAUAAA
RNAcentral lists this unclassified non-coding RNA (205 nucleotides) under uncultured Waitea. Its description in RNAcentral is "sequence contains ITS1". Lineage: Eukaryota; Fungi; Basidiomycota; Agaricomycetes; Cantharellales; Ceratobasidiaceae. The record is from RNAcentral.